Molecule: long non-coding RNA, 558 nt
Organism: Cavia porcellus (domestic guinea pig)
Lineage: Eukaryota; Metazoa; Chordata; Mammalia; Rodentia; Caviidae
Exons: 2
Source: RefSeq, a predicted model, not a curated record
CAUAAGCCAGGCCUCAGAUUCUCUGCCUUUGUCAUGUCCACAGCCCUUCACAGAAGACACCCUGGGCAACCUCCACUUGCAGGCCCCAGCCUGCUCGAGCCCAUGAGUCAGAUCUUCCUCACCUGAAAGUGUACCUGAAGCCUCAGCCCCAACAGUCAGCAGUGAAGUCUUGGAGCCUGUAAAGCUUUGGAUAAACAACAUCACCAACCCGGGCUGGCCUCAACCUGGCAGCUGGGAACCAGGAGUACAGUGGAGACAGCGAUGGCUGAAAAGCCAGGCGUAUCUGGAAGGCCAGUAACAGAAUACUGUGAAAGAAUAAGUGCUGUGAGUCCAUCCUGCUGCCACUAAACCUUCCAAGUACCUGGCCAGCCCGUAACUAUGGGAGCAGUGCAGAGGCUGAGUACACAGCCCUGGCAGACUGCUGAGAGAUGCUGCAGAAACAUGGACUUCUCAUGGACCGUCCAGAUCUCAGGUGCUUCACUGGUUAGUAAGUCUUAGUUAACCCUAUCCUUCCUUGUGAGUGCCUGCUAAGUCUCAAUAAACCUUACCUUUUAUAGA